GUGGAGCAAUCCAUGAGUACAGUGGCGUACGGGUGAGUAACACGUGGGUAAUCUACCUCUUAGUGGGGAAUAACCCUGGGAAACCGGGGCUAAUACCGCAUAAGCCUGAGAAGGGAAAGCAGCAAUGCGCUGAGAGAGGAGCCCGCGGCCGAUUAGCUAGUUGGUAGGGUAAAGGCCUACCAAGGCAGAGAUCGGUAGCCGGCCUGAGAGGGCACACGGCCACACUGGCACUGAAACACGGGCCAGACUCCUACGGGAGGCAGCAGUGGGGAAUCUUGCACAAUGGGGGCAACCCUGAUGCAGCGACGCCGCGUGAGCGAUGAAGCCCUUCGGGGUGUAAAGCUCUUUCGUCAGGGAAGAUGAUGACGGUACCUGGAGAAGCAGCUGCGGCUAACUACGUGCCAGCAGCCGCGGUAAUACGUAGGCAGCGAGCGUUGUUCGGAGUUACUGGGCGUAAAGGGUGUGUAGGCGGUUCUUUAAGUUUGGUGUGAAAUCUCCCGGCUCAACCGGGAGGGUGCGCCGAAUACUGAGGGACUAGAGUGCGGGAGAGGAAAGUGGAAUUCCUGGUGUAGCGGUGAAAUGCGUAGAUAUCAGGAGGAACACCGGUGGUGUAGACGGCUUUCUGGACCGUAACUGACGCUGAGACACGAAAGCGUGGGUAGCAAACAGGAUUAGAUACCCUGGUAGUCCACGCCCUAAACGAUGCAUAUUUGGUGUGGGUCAUUCAGUUGAUCCGUGCCGGAGCUAACGCGUUAAAUAUGCCGCCUGGGGAGUACAGUCGCAAGGCUGAAACUCAAAGGAAUUGAC
This 807-nucleotide ribosomal RNA is filed under the name uncultured Bacillota bacterium. RNAcentral describes it as "bacterial SSU rRNA". It matches the Rfam family "Bacterial small subunit ribosomal RNA", at positions 74 to 914 of the family's 1533-position model. The record is from RNAcentral. Lineage: Bacteria; Bacillati; Bacillota.